This 372-nucleotide ribosomal RNA is filed under the name Triticum aestivum (bread wheat). Its description in RNAcentral is "partial small subunit ribosomal RNA". Lineage: Eukaryota; Viridiplantae; Streptophyta; Magnoliopsida; Poales; Poaceae. The record is from RNAcentral.
AUGCUUCCCGACAACGCUCGUCCAGGCCCCUUCAAAGGUGGCAUGCAGAUCUUCGUCCAGAUGCAACACAGGAAACCUACAUCAAAGGAAUGGGUGAUCACCUCACUGCCGGCACAUAGCUCGAGGAUGGUCGCACUCUUGCUGACUACAACAUCCAGAAGGAGUCUGUCCUUCCAUACUGCCUCCCGGCAACGUGGUGGUAUGCUGAUCUUUGUCCAGACACUCACCCACAAGACCAUCACACUUGAGGAAGAGUCCUCUGACACCAUCGACAAUGUCAUGGCAAAGAUUGCCGUGGAAGAGCAUUGCCUCUCGGCAACGGCUCCCUCAGCGCCAACAGCUUCCGCCCGUCGACGACCAACCAGCAUCUAA